RNAcentral lists this ribosomal RNA (488 nucleotides) under uncultured bacterium. RNAcentral's name for it is "partial 16S ribosomal RNA". It matches the Rfam family "Bacterial small subunit ribosomal RNA", at positions 30 to 506 of the family's 1533-position model. RNAcentral also lists the same sequence under 1 other name. The record is from RNAcentral.
UUGAACGCUGGCGGCAUGCCUUACACAUGCAAGUCGAACGGCAGCAUGAUCUAGCUUGCUAGAUUGAUGGCGAGUGGCGAACGGGUGAGUAAUACAUCGGAACGUGCCCUGUAGUGGGGGAUAACUAGUCGAAAGAUUAGCUAAUACCGCAUACGACCUGAGGGUGAAAGUGGGGGACCGCAAGGCCUCAUGCUAUAGGAGCGGCCGAUGUCUGAUUAGCUAGUUGGUGAGGUAAAGGCUCACCAAGGCGACGAUCAGUAGCUGGUCUGAGAGGACGAUCAGCCACACUGGGACUGAGACACGGCCCAGACUCCUACGGGAGGCAGCAGUGGGGAAUUUUGGACAAUGGGCGAAAGCCUGAUCCAGCAAUGCCGCGUGUGUGAAGAAGGCCUUCGGGUUGUAAAGCACUUUUGUCCGGAAAGAAAUGGCUCUGGUUAAUACCUGGGGUCGAUGACGGUACCGGAAGAAUAAGGACCGGCUAACUACGU